UGCCUGCAGCACUGUGACCCAGUCUGUCAAUAUGGAUGAACUGACCCUGUUUUACUCUCUGAUUCUGCCACUGUGUUUGGGCUCUGAAGUGACCAUAGUGAAAACCAUCAGGAGAGGAACAGAUGUCACUAGAAUAUGUGUUAAUACUACACAGAGUCCCAUCACCCUCAUAGUGUGUAAGAUCAGAACGGAAAUGAGCGGAGAAGAGUGUCGUCUGCUGUUCCUUUACAGACGAGGCUUCGUGCAUAAAUGUGACUCCAGGUUCUCUCUAAAGAUGGAGUAUCAGACCGUUUCUCUCCACCUGAUGAAUUUAACACCAGUGGAUAGUGGGAACCACACCUGUGAAUGUUCUCACACUGAGGGAACAUAUGUCCUGCAUCUAUACAUCACUGUGGAAGAUUUAGAGGAUAAAGACGGCAGCAUUUUAAUUCAAAUACCGAUUCCAGGUAUGAUUGGUGUAACUGUAUUCAUCAUAACUGCAGUCAUCAUAUUGUGUAUCUGCAGGAGAAAACAUCACAGUGUCUGUUCAGUGUCAGCCACACCUGGAUCAUCUGCAUGUGAGAAUCCCGGCAAUUUGGAUGAAGAUGACCCUGAUGACUCCUACACAGCCCUCCAGCAGCCAGACAGUGAUCUCUACCAGAGUGUCUCUAACUCAGCCAAUGAUAGAGAGACGGUCGGUUUGGAUUACCAGAAUAUACGCGAACGAGAGACUGAUGCCAGCGACAAACUCUAGGGAAACACUUAACCCAAAAACAGCACUGUAUAAUAUGUUGGCAACUUUUAGAGAUGAUUCUACAAUAAUACUCCUUUUUAUUAUUAUCAAAUCAUCAUUUAUUAUUAGAACAUGUCAGCUUUAAUGGUGGAUCUUUGAACAAGACAAAGAGAAAAAUGAGCCAUCUUGUGUGUAAAGAUGUGCCUCAAAUCGUGAUUUACUUAGACUCAAAAAAAGUGAUUAAAAUAAUCCUUAAAAAGGGUUUAUAUUUGACAAAAAAUGUGUGUAUUUUUGCCAUGUUGUUGGCUAUAAGUGUUCAAUUGUAAUAUACAUUCCAACUGCAUGAUUGCUAACUGAAUAAUUAAAACCCCUAAAAGUCCCUCGUGAACAAAGUGAAUUGACUUAAAUGAAGUGAGGUUUUUUUCAUUGUAUGUAAAAAAGCAGUAUGUAGACGACACCUGGUUUACUUGUUAAAGACGCGGGGAACCAGAAUUGCUUCGAGCUGCAGCUUUCUAUACACAGCUCGAGCUCAGGCUUCUAAAUAUGUGAUGACCACAGAGCAGUCAUCUUAUUUCUGGCUAGUUUUGUGACAUACAAUUCAAACAAACGGCAAAACCAAUGCAGGUAACACUUUACAUUUGUAGGAUUCAGUGACUGUAGACCUGCUGCUCUGCAUCAACACAAGCAGAAGCUCCUGUUACUUUCUUUAUUGACAUUUCUCCCCACAUAUGUGAGAGUGUAAUGUUUAGGUGUACAGAGAAGUGUGUCUUCUCUUCAGAACAGUAUACACUCACUUAUUGACCGGUAUGGAAUCAAGAUGGCGACUGUUCUUCGUUCUGCUUCUGCCUCUAACCAAGUGCGAAGUGACCAUAGUGAAAACUAUCGGGAGAGGACCAGAUGUCACUGAAAUAUGUGUUAAUACUACACAGAGUCCCAUCAUACUCAUAUUGUGUAAGAUCAGAACAGAAAGGAGCGGAGAAGAAUGUUAUCUGUUCUAUGAACCGUCAAAGGACUUUGUGCAACAAAAUUACUCCAGGUUCUCUCUAAAGAUGGAGAAUCAGACCGUUUCUCUCCACCUGAUCAAUUUAACAGCAGUGGAUAGUGGGAACUACAGCUGUGAAUGUUCACACACUGCGGGAACAGAGAUCCUCCAUCUACAGAUCACUGUGGAAGAUUUAGAGGAUAAAGGCGGCAGCAUUUUAAUUCAAAUACCGAUUCCAGGUAUGAUUGGUGUAACUGUAUUCAUCAUAACUGCAGUCAUCAUAUUGUGUAUCUGCAGGAGAAAACAUCACAGUGUCUGUUCAGUGUCAGCCAAACUUGGAUCAUCUGCAUGUGAGAAUCCUGGCACUUUGGAUGAAGAUGACCCUGGUGACUCCUACACAGCCCUCCAACAGCCAGACAGUGAUCUCUACCAGAGUGUCUCUAACUCAGCCAACCACAGAGAAGACAGGUGGUUUGGAAAACCAGAAAAUACACAACAGAGAGACCGAUGCAGGCGACAAACUCUAUGAAAGCAAAAGUCCCCCAAAACAGCACUGUAUAAAAUGUAAUAAAAUCCCAAAGCAUUAUGCCAACAAAAUGAGCAUAUAGCUUGUUUUUAAAUCCUUGUUAUUGUUGUUUUUAUGUAAUGUUUCUUGUUCUUAGAGUUUUAGUUGAUGAACUAAUUGACAAAAUGAGUAUAUUUGUGCCAUGUUUUCAGCUAUUAGUGUUUACUUAUUGGAAUUUGAAAAUAUCCAACUGCAUGAUUAUGAACUGAAGAA
RNA transcript from Eleginops maclovinus (Patagonian blennie), 2472 nucleotides. RefSeq lists it as uncharacterized. The record is from RefSeq and is a predicted model, not a curated record. The transcript has 9 exons. NCBI's taxonomy places the organism in Eukaryota, Metazoa, Chordata, Actinopteri, Perciformes, Eleginopidae.